CUUUGGAGCAGGAGGGGCUGAAUGGCGACAUGGAAUCACCCAGAGGAGAGGGACCCUCUGUGAGUCAGGAGGGAGAUGCUGCCAUGGCACCUCUGGGGCAGGAGGCAGCUCUGCAAGGUAAUGACCCUGGAUUAGCUCCCUGUGCCAAGGAUAAUUCAGUGGGCACACCCUCUGCAAUUCACAUUGGAGAACCUCAACAAAACCAGGAAGCAGUGGCGGCAGCAGCAGGCUCGGCAGGGCUGGCCUGGCAGCGCUGUGGGGAGCAUGGCAGCGUAGCUGCUGCUGCUGGGUGGCCUGGGGACCAUGCAGGGGAUGAGGGGUCUCCAGAGCAGAGCCUUUCACAGCAGGCUGAAGGAGGCAAAGCUGAGCCUGAGCAGGAGGCCUGUGCAAGGGGCAGGGAGCAGGUUUUGUUGGAGGAGUUUCUUGCUGUGGAACCCUCUGUCUGCAGUAAGGGGGGGCCUGUGGCAAGCAGCAGCGAUGUGGAUGCUGGGCUGAAAGGGGCAGUCUGUGCUGAAGAAGUGUGCAAGGCUGGGGCAGCGGGUGCAGGAGAAGGCAUCAUGCACAGACCUGCAUCAGCAGGUGAGUCACUGGGUGUGGAGAGCAGCCCUGGUCCAGAUACAGGGCUGCACCAGGAACAUGAUCCUGGUCAAACCCUACAGCAAACCUCCCCGUGCAGCGGCACCCCCGAGUUAAAGGAUGCUUUGGAAAUGGGAGCCCCAAGCGAUGCCUGUGAGGGUAAGGAAGCAUUAAGGCCGGUGACAAUACCUCCCACUGCAGUGUAUCCAGAAGAGCAGGAGGAUAAGGAAAGUGUGCUUCCCCGCGCAGCGCUUCAGCCCAUUGCAGAGGAGCCCACAUGUGACAGCGACUCCAGCACUGACACUGUUUGUCCCGUCAGCGAGACCGAUGCUGAUCCUGCUGCAGAAACAGCUCAGGGGGAGGUCUCAGCUGAGCCCAAUGGAGGGCAAAGCCAAGCUGUGCCUGCAUCGCCCUUCUCACCGUGUUCGUGCCGUUUACGUGCUGUUGAGUCACUGGAAAAUGUGGGAGUGAAGAGUUUGGUUUCGGCAGAUGGUGGCUUGUCUCUGGAUAAAGGUCCUAAAAUGGUGAAAAGCUUUGAUGCAGUGGUUUUUGCAGCAGAGACACCUUGUUCCCCUGAAUUACCAGCCACAGAGAAAGCAGGGCUUGAGCCCCAGGCGACAGUGGAUGUGGGAGCCAGCCUCAAUGGAGAAAUGGAUGUAAGUCUCUCGACAAAGAAGAGGAACGGCAGCCCAGCAGUGCAACGACCUGAGCCUGUUACAGGGAACUUGGAAAUGAAAACUGAGGACGAGGUGGAUUUUCUGAAGGAUCACGAGGAGCGUGCAGUCCGUGAGGCAGCGGUGAGUGCCACUGAUGUGUUACGUGUCA
RNAcentral lists this long non-coding RNA (1401 nucleotides) under Melopsittacus undulatus (budgerigar). RNAcentral's name for it is "lncRNA (ENSMUNG00000020628.1)". The record is from RNAcentral. Lineage: Eukaryota; Metazoa; Chordata; Aves; Psittaciformes; Psittaculidae.